Alligator mississippiensis (American alligator) is the source of this 925-nucleotide long non-coding RNA. RefSeq lists it as uncharacterized. The record is from RefSeq and is a predicted model, not a curated record. Lineage: Eukaryota; Metazoa; Chordata; Crocodylia; Alligatoridae. The transcript has 4 exons.
AACAUGCAGCGCCCUUCUGCUUUCAGUGGGGUCACAGACAAAUGGAAGUGUCCACUCACUUGGAGAUGGAUGCUAGAAAGGUUGGGAAGCCUAUCUAGGGUGCUGUGGUAUUAGAGCCCAUGGGAGUGUGUCAAGUGCUCAGCACCUAUGAGGACAACAGCCAUCUAAGUACUGGGAGAGAAAAGAAGAACCCAAAAAGGUCAGCUGUGAGGAGGAAAAGAGCAGCAAAUGAGGAGAGAGAGUCCUUUACAUCUAUGUGCUGACCCUGCACCACACCACAAUAUUGUCAUAUCUCUUGUCAUCAUACCUCAAGAACCAUAGGGCUGGAAGCAUCUUCAAGAGUAGUAGUCCUGCCAAAAAUCUCAAGGAGACCAUACUUAAUUCAAGUUAUAUAUUACACAGUUGGUACCAGACUGCCCUCUUCCUCUUCUGGAUAAUCCCACAGGAGACAGAGAACACAAGUCUAUGAGGAUCCCUUCCAGAUCAUUUCUAUGCAUCAAUCAGGCAAUGGGGAGGAUUUUGCCCAGAUUUUGCAGUCCUUUCAGAAAUAAAAAUCCCAGUAAUGCUAGUGGGAGUUAUGUGCAUCAAAAUACAGCAAGACUUGAGAACUGAGGAAAGCGCAGAAAAAGAAUAAAAGUAGUUAUAUUAUAUUGUAGUUAAAAAGUGCAUUUUUGUUGGGAAUGGGAUCUGAACCAAAAAGUUUUGGUUCAAGCAUGGAUUGAAACAUUCCUAAAUUCAUGGGUGUUUGGAUGAAAGGGGUCAGAAUCCAACUGCAAAUGUCAGAUGUAGAUUCAGACUUUCCCAAAUUGCUAGGCUUUUCAAACUGGCAAUAUUUGAUUCAAGCAAUUCUUUGAAGAGUGAUGCAAAUCAAUUUGUAUCCAUGUCCCAUCGCAAUUUUCUUGAAGCAUCUCUCUGCAGCAGAGCA